ACGCACGCUGGCGGCGUGCUUAACACAUGCCAGUCGCACGGAAAGGCCCUGCUUGCAGGGUACUCGAGUGGCGAACGGGUGAGUAACACGUGGGUGAUCUGCCCUGCACUUCGGGAUAAGCCUGGGAAACUGGGUCUAAUACCGGAUAGGAGCCAUUUUUAGUGUGAUGGUUGGAAAGUUUUUUCGGUGUAGGAUGAGCUCGCGGCCUAUCAGCUUGUUGGUGGGGUAAUGGCCUACCAAGGCGGCGACGGGUAGCCGGCCUGAGAGGGUGGACGGCCACAUUGGGACUGAGAUACGGCCCAGACUCCUACGGGAGGCAGCGGUGGGGAAUAUUGCACAAUGGGCGCAAGCCUGAUGCAGCGACGCCGCGUGGGGGAUGACGGCCUUCGGGUUGUAAACUCCUUUCGCUAGGGACGAAGCUUUUUGUGACGGUACCUAGAUAAGAAGCACCGGCUAACUACGUG
Molecule: ribosomal RNA, 464 nt
Filed under: uncultured bacterium
Lineage: Bacteria
Description: partial 16S ribosomal RNA
Rfam family: Bacterial small subunit ribosomal RNA
Source: RNAcentral